CCCUCGCCAUCUGCUGUGGACUCUGGUCUUUGGUUUUUGUGUUUCCAAGGCAGAAAUCUGGGCUACAACUAUCACGAGCAAAGUCUUUAUGAUAGAAGCAAACCUCUGAGGGACAAAGAUGAAGAGGCAGAUAAUUUUCUUCAGAGGGUGAGAAGAUGCAAGGACUGGUAACUGCAAACUUUCAAGGGAAGUAGCAUUUCUGUCCUACUUCAGAAGUAGCCAGGGAUAAAUGAGCUCCACCCUCAUGGACUACAGAUCCAAGUUCCUGGAGUUGCAACCAAUUAGUGCUGGCACAAGAGGUACCUGUUUAACUUUGAAGAGCUUUAAAAUUUCAGAAAUCACAGACAAGACUGUGCCUAAGUGGAGACAAGUAAAUAAAGCUUCCUCUCCCCAACGCCCUGUGCUCUGCACUAAUAGAGAUCCAGCUGCUGGGAGCAAUGAGAGCAGAGGUGAUGUUCGUGGGAUCAAUGCAACCCUGGAUUCUCUUGCCACCAGCCCUGCCUCCUGGGGAGCCAUUGAGUUAGUGGAAUCAGCAGUGGAAGAGAGGAUGAAAUGGUAUUGGCAUGCCUUCAUUCCCUCACACAUUAGCCAGCGGCGGCUUUCUUUUGUCCAUUUUCUGCUCACCUUCUUGUCUGUUUCGCUCGUCCUUUUUGUUUUACCUUCUGGUAUUUGUUUUCUUUCCCCCAGUUUCCAGAUAAUUCUAACCUGAUUUGCUCCCCCGUCCUCUCUUCUUUUAGUCCUUCCUUUCGCUGUAUUCCUGCCUCCUGCCUUGUUUUUAUUUUUUUGUUAUGAAAUACUGC
RNAcentral lists this long non-coding RNA (800 nucleotides) under Macaca mulatta (Rhesus monkey). Its description in RNAcentral is "lncRNA (ENSMMUG00000038139.2)". The record is from RNAcentral. Lineage: Eukaryota; Metazoa; Chordata; Mammalia; Primates; Cercopithecidae.